UCAAUCUAAAGGGUGAUUUUUUUGCUGGUAUCUUUUUGGCAACACUGUUUUGGACAGAUCACGCGUGAAUCGUGUCUUGUGUCAUAGUCAAACUUGUUCAGUAUGGUCUAUAAUUUAACCAUGAAUCGACUUACGAACGAACAACGCUUGCAAAUGAUUAAAUUUUACUAUCAAAGACGACAAUGGCCGAAACGUUACUGUGAAUGGCGAGCGCUACCGUGUGAUGAUUGGCGAUUUUUUUUGCCCAAAAUGGAAGAAUUGGACAUGCCUGACAUGUUGUUUCAACAAGACGGUGCCACAUGCCACACGGCACGCGAAACAAUGGUCCAAUUGAGAGCCGCCUUCGGUGAACAGUUUAUCUCACGUUUUGGGCCCGUCAAUUGGCCGCCUAGAUCGUGUGAUCUAACGCCUUUGGACUAUUUCUUGUGGAGCCAUCAACGAUUGACGCACUGGGAGCCAAUAUUGAAGCAUUUAUUCGUAAAAUACCGGCUGAUAUGUUGGAGAGAGUGUGCCGAAAUUGGGCCUUGCGAAUGGGCCAUCUAAACCGGAGCCGCGGCCAGCAUUUGCAUGAAAUCAUCUUCAAACAUUAAAUUAUAUUGACCGUUCUAUCGAUUCCAAUAAAGAUUUCAUCAAAUUUUUCAAAUUUUUUGUGUUUUUUUUGAAAAUCAAA
Long non-coding RNA from Helicoverpa armigera (cotton bollworm), 670 nucleotides. RefSeq lists it as uncharacterized. The transcript has 2 exons. NCBI's taxonomy places the organism in Eukaryota, Metazoa, Arthropoda, Insecta, Lepidoptera, Noctuidae. The record is from RefSeq and is a predicted model, not a curated record.